UAUGAUUCAAGCAAGUGUUGAUCUUCAACUUAAAGACCCUCUUCCUUUGGAUUGGGAACAAUGUCUUGAUCUUGAAGUAUAUAUACCCCUUAUUUUCUUUCUCCUAACUUUUCACUUCAAUUCUAUCUUCUUCUAUUAGUACCUUAUUUUCUUUCCCCUAACUUUUUACUUCAAUUCUUUUUCUAUUAGUAAUAGUAGAGUUUAUCUUAUAAGGGGAGCAGUGACGUAACCGGUAAAGUUGCUGACAUGUGAUAAGGAGGUCAAGAGUUUAAGCUGUGGAAAUAACCUCUUGCAAAAAUACAGGGUAAAGCUGCGUACAGUUAGACCCUUGUGGUCCGGCCCCUUCCUACACAUAACGAGAGCUUAGUGCACUGGGCUGCCCUCUAAUAGAGUUUACGUUAUAUGCACCGAUAAUAUAAAGCUGAUUAGAGGAAGUUAUUGCACUAUUUCUUAGGUCAAUUUAACUUGAUUGUAUAGAAACUAAAUAUACUAUCGGUGCACAGAACAUAAACUCAUUAGUUAACUCUUUUUUUUGGGUUGAAUUAUUAACUAAU
RNAcentral lists this long non-coding RNA (554 nucleotides) under Nicotiana benthamiana. RNAcentral describes it as "long non-coding RNA (NBEN_LNC005523)". The record is from RNAcentral. Lineage: Eukaryota; Viridiplantae; Streptophyta; Magnoliopsida; Solanales; Solanaceae.